CCUACGGGAGGCAGCAGUGGGGAAUAUUGCUCAAUGGGGGAAACCCUGAUGCAGCGACGCCGCGUGAGUGAUGAAGGUUUUCGGAUUGUAAAGUCCUAUUAGUAGGGAAGAAAAUGACGGUAUCUGACUAAUAAGCCCCGGCUAACUCCGUGCCAGCAGCCGCGGUAAUACGUAGGGGGCAAGCGUUACCCGGAUUUACUGGGCGUAAAGGGCGCGUAGGCGGCAGCGCAAGUCUGGUGUGAAAUGCCAGGGCUUAACCCUGGAACUGCUUUGGAAACUGUGCUGCUAGAGUGCGGGAGAGGUAGGUGGAAUUCCUGGUGUAGCGGUAAAAUGCGUAGAUAUUAAGAGGAACACCAGUGGCGAAGGCGGCUUGCUAGACUGUAACUGACGUUGAGGCGCGAAAGCGUGGGGAGCAAACAGGAUUAGAUACCCGAGUAGUC
This 440-nucleotide ribosomal RNA is filed under the name uncultured bacterium. RNAcentral describes it as "partial 16S ribosomal RNA". It matches the Rfam family "Bacterial small subunit ribosomal RNA", at positions 338 to 795 of the family's 1533-position model. The record is from RNAcentral.